UACGGAGGGGGCUAGCGUUGUUCGGAUUUAUUGGGCGUAAAGAGCGUGUAGGCGGCCAGGUAGGUCUGCUGUGAAAACUCGAGGCUUAACCUCGAGCUGUCGGCGGAAACCAUCUGGCUAGAGUCCGGAAGAGGAGAAUGGAAUUCCCGGUGUAGCGGUGAAAUGCGCAGAUAUCGGGAAGAACACCCGUGGCGAAGGCGGUACUCUGGGACGGUACUGACGCUGAGACGCGAAAGCGUGGGGAGCGAACAGG
RNAcentral lists this ribosomal RNA (253 nucleotides) under uncultured bacterium. Its description in RNAcentral is "partial 16S ribosomal RNA". It matches the Rfam family "Bacterial small subunit ribosomal RNA", at positions 524 to 776 of the family's 1533-position model. The record is from RNAcentral.